This 809-nucleotide long non-coding RNA is filed under the name Ananas comosus (pineapple). Its description in RNAcentral is "long non-coding RNA (ACOM_LNC043532)". Lineage: Eukaryota; Viridiplantae; Streptophyta; Magnoliopsida; Poales; Bromeliaceae. The record is from RNAcentral.
GUAAUAAGAAUAAUAAUCAUAUAUAUAUAUAUAUAUAUAUAGAGUUGAUCUAGGAUACUUUUACAAGUAUCAUCCCCAAGUUGCUAUCACAUUUUUAGCCAUUGGAUCUACUUUUUGAUUACAAAUAGCCCUUGGAUCAAACACUAUUCCACCUACCACCACCUACCACCACCUACCCCCAUCAUCUCAACCUCCCAUCUCUCCAUCCAAGGGCUAGAAACACACAAGUAUCACUUGGGUGAUACUUGUAAAAGUAUUCUAGCCCUACUCUAUAUAUAUAUAUAUAUAUAUAUAUAUAUUCGAGCUUUUCGAGCCUAAUUCGAACGAGCCAAAUAAUACUCAAACUCGGCUUGAAAUGAAUUUCGAGCCUUUGUUUUUUGUUCAAACUUGGCUCAUUUAAUUUCGAGUCGAGCUCGAGCGAGCCAAAUAUCGAGUCGAACGCGAGCCGGCUCGCUCAUUUGCCAGCCCUAUGAAUCUCACAUUGCCUAGUACUUAUGCGUCUGAAACUGACGAGAACGUCAGGACUUAAGGGGGGAAGAAUAUGAAACCCCAAAUAGUCCUAUAUGUAAGAUAUAAUAGGACUAAAAUUUUUAACCCGAUUUAAGUAUUUUGAAUGAUGGCAAGAUACAAAAGGUUAAAAUAAUUAAGCGUGCUAGGAGGGGGCGUCACAAUUAACCCUCUUAGAUUUUACAGACUCAUUCCAGAUUUUUUUUUUUUAAUUAACUAAAUAUUCUUUUCUUUUCUCUCUUCCUCUAUCCCAUCACUCUCAUCUGACAUCUCCGUCAUUCAAAUUUUUAACCGUAAAAUUU